RNAcentral lists this transfer RNA (65 nucleotides) under Danaus genutia (orange tiger). RNAcentral's name for it is "tRNA-Arg". The record is from RNAcentral. Lineage: Eukaryota; Metazoa; Arthropoda; Insecta; Lepidoptera; Nymphalidae.
AAAUAAGAAGCAAUUUUGCAUUUAAUUUCGACUUAAAAGAUUAGGAUUAAUAAUCCUCUUAUUUA